This 450-nucleotide long non-coding RNA is filed under the name Bos taurus (domestic cattle). Its description in RNAcentral is "long non-coding RNA NONBTAT021475". Lineage: Eukaryota; Metazoa; Chordata; Mammalia; Artiodactyla; Bovidae. The record is from RNAcentral.
UUAUUGUAAUAAUCAAAAGGGGGAUUUAUACAAGGUAUUUUUUAUACAGUUUAAAAUUAAAGCACUUAUUUUACAAAAAGGGGGAAGUGAAUAGUGGACAAGGGCUGACCAAAUGUUGGUCAUUAAAAUAUAAUUACAUCCUUGCAAAGCACCAUCGUACCAAAGUCCAUGAACAAGAAACACCAGCUGACUUUAAGACAAUGACGAAGAUUAAAGCUUAAAAAAUUUAAAAACACAGAGGAUAAAACAUCUGAAAGCAGCACCAGAUCCUUCACUUGCAAAUAAGGCUAGUCCAGCUUAAGCGUCUCAGUAUCUUCUUUACUCUCAUUAAAAUGUUCUCAAUUAAUCCUAGAUACUCAAUUUCAUGUAACCUUAGUUUAAUCAGACUUGUUUUAUUUUCUUUUUAAUAUUCUUACUUAGGCAUUAGUAUUUAGUGAGAUAUAAUAGAGA